RNAcentral lists this ribosomal RNA (114 nucleotides) under Piscinibacter sp. RNAcentral also lists the same sequence under 3 other names. Lineage: Bacteria; Pseudomonadati; Pseudomonadota; Betaproteobacteria; Burkholderiales; Sphaerotilaceae. The record is from RNAcentral.
UCUGGUGCCCAUAGCACGUUGGAACCACCCCUUCCCAUCCCGAACAGGACCGUGAAACGACGUCGCGCCGAUGAUAGUAGGUACUACGCCCGCGAAAGUAGGUCAGCGCCAGAC